AGAUAAAGAUUGUUUUGUGUGUUUGCAGGUUCAGUCCAAUCACCACAGAGAAUUACAAGAAGUCUUCAUGGCAACCAAUUUGUAAAAAAAAAAAAAGUACCCAAGUGUAACGGAUGUGAAACGGCUAGCUUAGUUAGCGGUGCGCGCUAAAUAGCGUUUCAAUCGGUGACGUCACUUGCUCUGAGACCUUGUUGAUGUGUGCAGAGGGUCCCUGAUUCGCACCCGGGUAUGGGCGAGGGGACGGUCUGAAGUUAUACUAUUACAUAAGUAUCAAGUUAUAAUUGUUAAUAGCAUUAUUUAAGGCUAAGGCCAAAGCCUUUUGUAUAAAAGCCUUCCUGUUUCCUUCAGGGGAUCGCCUUACUAUGUGCUGGUCAACGUGCCUUGGGAGAAUGGGAGCGGCGAUGGUAUUUCUUGUAACAAAGACAGUUGUACGAAGCUCCCGGAGCCCGAAGAUGAUGUAGGCCUAUGGAUGUUGUGACUUGUGACACUGAAAAUUAAAUAAAUUGUUGUUGCAUAAUGUUGUCUUGAUUCCCAUGCUCCACUCCUUGAUUGAAAUAACCUGUGUUAUGUUUAUCUUAGUACCUCGCCUCGCUUCUUAAAAAGGUGGUGCGGCUGUGUCGACAGGAAUAUUAUGUUAAUUUCCCUGACGUCACAUCCGCAUUGCAUACUUACUCCCAUUCACAGAUAAUUUGUUAGUAGGACAUGACGUGAUCCAGCUUGUGUGUGUAAUAUAACUGCUUGACCUACCUUGCAGAACAUGGACCAG
This 766-nucleotide long non-coding RNA is filed under the name Oncorhynchus kisutch (coho salmon). Its description in RNAcentral is "lncRNA (ENSOKIG00005021430.1)". Lineage: Eukaryota; Metazoa; Chordata; Actinopteri; Salmoniformes; Salmonidae. The record is from RNAcentral.